AGAACGAACGCUGGCGGCAGGCUUAACACAUGCAAGUCGAACGCCCCGCGAGGGGAGUGGCAGACGGGUGAGUAACGCGUGGGAAUCUACCCAGAACUUCGGAACAACUGAGGGAAACUUCAGCUAAUACCGGAUACGCCCUACGGGGGAAAGAUUUAUCGGUUCUGGAUGAGCCCGCGUUGGAUUAGCUAGUUGGUGGGGUAAUGGCCCACCAAGGCGACGAUCCAUAGCUGGUCUGAGAGGAUGAUCAGCCACACUGGGACUGAGACACGGCCCAGACUCCUACGGGAGGCAGCAGUGGGGAAUAUUGGACAAUGGGCGAAAGCCUGAUCCAGCCAUGCCGCGUGAGUGAUGAAGGCCUUAGGGUUGUAAAGCUCUUUCAGUAGGGAAGAUAAGUGACGGUACCUACAGAAGAAGCCCGGCUAACUUCGUAGCCAGCAGCCGC
RNAcentral lists this ribosomal RNA (445 nucleotides) under uncultured bacterium. RNAcentral describes it as "SSU rRNA". It matches the Rfam family "Bacterial small subunit ribosomal RNA", at positions 26 to 518 of the family's 1533-position model. The record is from RNAcentral.